Molecule: ribosomal RNA, 374 nt
Filed under: uncultured organism
Description: partial 16S ribosomal RNA
Rfam family: Bacterial small subunit ribosomal RNA
Source: RNAcentral
GGAGGGAGCUAGCGUUGUUCGGAAUCACUGGGCGUAAAGGGCGCGUAGGCGGCCGAGUAAGUCGUGUGUGAAAGACCGGGGGCUCAACUCCGUGUACUGCGUGCGAUACUGCCCGGCUAGAGAAAGGUAGAGGCGAGUGGAAUUCCCGGUGUAGCGGUGGAAUGCGUAGAUAUCGGGAAGAACACCUGUGGCGAAGGCGGCUCGCUGGGCCUUUUCUGACGCUGAAGUGCGAAAGCGUGGGGAGCAAACAGGAUUAGAUACCCUGGUAGUCCACGCCGUAAACGAUGGGCACUAGGCGUUGGGAGGAUUGACCCUCUCAGUGCCGUAGCUAACGCGUUAAGUGCCCCGCCUGGGGAGUACGGCCGCAAAGGCUG